AUACGUAGGUGGCAAGCGUUGUCCGGAAUUAUUGGGCGUAAAGCGCGCGCAGGUGGUUCCUUAAGUCUGAUGUGAAAGCCCCCGGCUCAACCGGGGAGGGUCAUUGGAAACUGGGGAACUUGAGUGCAGAAGAGGAUAGUGGAAUUCCACGUGUAGCGGUGAAAUGCGUAGAGAUUUGGAGGAACACCAGUGGCGAAGGCGACUGUCUGGUCUGUAACGGACACUGAGGCGCGAAAGCGUGGGGAGCAAACAGGAUUAGAUCCCCUGGUAGUCCACGCCGUAAACGAUGAGUGCUAAGUGUUGGGGGGUUUCCGCCCCUCAGUGCUGCAGCUAACGCAUUAAGCACUCCGCCUGGGGAGUACGGUCGCAAGACUGAAACUCAAAUGAAUUGGCGGGG
RNAcentral lists this ribosomal RNA (397 nucleotides) under uncultured bacterium. Its description in RNAcentral is "partial 16S ribosomal RNA". It matches the Rfam family "Bacterial small subunit ribosomal RNA", at positions 523 to 918 of the family's 1533-position model. The record is from RNAcentral.